Vicia faba (fava bean) is the source of this 324-nucleotide non-coding RNA. Lineage: Eukaryota; Viridiplantae; Streptophyta; Magnoliopsida; Fabales; Fabaceae. The record is from the annotation of a GenBank genome assembly.
AUGACACACUCCAUCGUUGAAUUGAGGCUCGACAAUGAGAGAAUUGAUGAGGAACUCAAGGUUAUUUGGUCACUCUCAAGUGCGAGAAUCGGUGCAAGAUCUUCAAGGAAGGAAGUUAUUUCUAUGGAUUUCAUAGAUUUCAGAUUUGUAUCCGCCUACUCUUCCAUUGGCAAAAAAUUUCUUGUAACACUUUGCUCCUUCAAGGAUGACGACUCUUCAAUCGGUUCCUCUUCCUCAUCUAAAAUUGGUAAAAUUGAUCUUCAAUCAGGUUUAAAACGCCAUAACAAUGUUGUUGUAAAGGUAUCCCAACUAUAUCUGUCAUGA